GUGGAGGGAACUUUCCCAGGCCCCGAGGCGGAUCGGGUAUUGAGUCCAUGGAGCGAGCUGAGAGCUAGAGAUCUAAAGCUUAAGGACUAUGGAGUGGAUCUCAUUGAAGUUUCAGACAAUGGAUGUGGGGUAGAAGAAGAAAACUUUGAAGGCUUAACGAUGUCACCAUUUCUACCUGCCACGCAUCGGCGAAGGUUGGGACUCGACUGGUGUUUGAUCACGAUGGGAAAAUCAUCCAGAAAACCCCCUACCCCCACCCCAGAGGGACCACAGUCAGCGUGAAGCAGUUAUUUUCUACACUACCUGUGCACCAUAAGGAAUUUCAAAGGAAUAUUAAGAAGACGUGCCUGUUUCCCCUUCGCCUUCUGCCGUGAUUGUCAGUUUCCUGAGGCCUCCCCAGCCAUGCUUCCUGUACAGCCUGCAGAACUGAUGGCCGUAUAAGAAAAUAAACAACUUGCUAAAACUGCUGAAACUCCCUCUGCUUGUGAGAUUUAAAAAAACUGGCUGAAAUUGGUUGGAACCAACAUGUCCAAUGGAGUCUGAAUAGAAAGAGCUUGCUGACAUCACAGCCCGAAUUUCCACCACAUUUCAUACUAACUCCCCCUGAAUUUGCAUAUGCAAACCACAAGCAAGCAUGAUCAAACAGACAACUGCGCGUGUCCGAGGACUUUCCAGAUCUCCCCUUUCCUUCCACCAAUCACUUACUAAUCUGAGAAUCCAUCCCCUAAUAAAAUCACUGCCUUAAAGCCUGCACAGGAA
Long non-coding RNA from Homo sapiens (human), 759 nucleotides. Ensembl annotates it as PMS1 homolog 2, mismatch repair system component pseudogene 4. Its record names the gene PMS2P4. NCBI's taxonomy places the organism in Eukaryota, Metazoa, Chordata, Mammalia, Primates, Hominidae. The record is from Ensembl.